UUCCGGUUGAUCCUGCCGAAGGCUACUGCUAUUGGAGUUCGAUUAAGCCAUGCGAGUCUAAGGGAUACUUGUAUCCCUGGCAUAAUGCUCAGUAACACGUGGAUAAUCUGCCCUCAGGUGAGGAAUAAACCCGGGAAACUGAGAAUAAUGAUCCAUAGUUCACUACGCCUGGAACGGUGAGUGGAUGAAAGCUCCGGCGGCAUAGGAUGGGCCUGCGGCGUAUCAGGUUGUAGGGGGUGUAACGUACCCUCUAGCCCUCUACGCGUACGGGUGUUGGGAGACAUAGCCCGGAGAUGGAUUCUGAGACACGAAUCCAGACCCUACGGGGUGCAGCAGGCGCGAAAACUUGGCAAUGCGAGAAAUCGUGACCAGGGAACUCCAAGUGCAUGGGGUAAGACCCAUGCUUUUCUUGACUCUAAAUAGGUCUUGGAAUAAGGGGUGGGUAAGGACGGUGCCAGCCGCCGCGGUAAUACCGGCGCCUCAAGUGGUAGUCGCUUUUAUUGGGCCUAAAACGUCCGUAGCCGGUCUGAUACAUUCGUGGGUAAAUCAACCAGCUUAACUGGUUGAAUUCUGCGAGGACGGUCAGACUUGGGACCGGGAGAGGUGUGGGGUACGCUCAGGGUAGGGGUAAAAUCCUGUCAUCCUGAGCGGACCACCUGUUGCGAAGGCGCCACACUAGAACGGAUCCGACGGUCAGGGACGAAGCCUAGGGGCACGAACCGGAUUAGAUACCCGGGUAGUCCUAGGUGUAAACGCUGUGGACUUGAUGUUGGGGGUGCUCCGAGCACUCUCAGUGUCGAAGCGAAGGUGAUAAGUCCACUGCCUGGGAAGUACGGUCGCAAGGCUGAAACUUAAAGGAAUUGGCGGGGGAGCACCGCAACCUGAGGAUUGUGCGGUUUAAUUGGAUUCAACGCCGGA
RNAcentral lists this ribosomal RNA (918 nucleotides) under uncultured marine archaeon. Its description in RNAcentral is "bacterial SSU rRNA". It matches the Rfam family "Archaeal small subunit ribosomal RNA", at positions 1 to 922 of the family's 1478-position model. The record is from RNAcentral.